UGUAGCUCAAUGGCAGAGUGCUUGCCUCGCAUGCAUGAGGCCUUGGGUUCAAUUUCUCAGCA
This 62-nucleotide transfer RNA is filed under the name Dipodomys ordii (Ord's kangaroo rat). It matches the Rfam family "tRNA", at positions 6 to 65 of the family's 71-position model. Rfam says of the family: Transfer RNA (tRNA) molecules are approximately 80 nucleotides in length. Their secondary structure includes four short double-helical elements and three loops (D, anti-codon, and T loops). The record is from Rfam by way of RNAcentral. Lineage: Eukaryota; Metazoa; Chordata; Mammalia; Rodentia; Heteromyidae.